UUCCUAUGAGACUUUUUCACCGCCUGCAAACAAAAAUGUUUUUAAUUUAAAUAGAAUACUAAUUUGAUAUGGAAAAUCUAAUUUUCAUUCAUAAUUUUAAUUUUGAAAACGUUCAUUCCGACUGAAAAUGAGCUAUUACUUUACGCUCCCCUAAACUAGUAAACGAAGUUCAAUGCCGUCAAAGCGGGUCGCUGUUUUGAAGAAAACAAAUACUUUUGACGUUUGAGAUGUUGGCACCAAAAACGUGGCGGGUGCCAUACAGCUGGAACGAACAUAAAGAGGCGAGUGUUGUGAAUAUCGCCAAACACCAAACCAUUAGCUAGGCUUUUGAGUGUCGCCCUAUUCUGGCAUUUCAGCAACAGGACACUCACCAAGGAGCUCAGAUUUCUGCUGUCAAGUAGAAAUUCACCAUGUGUUAGUGUUGUGAUAAUACCCAGAUUCCUAUAUUUUCUAGCGGUUAUAAGCACAGUGUCGACCGAGUGACGAAAAGUGCUACAAAAGUGCCGGAAUUUUACCCCGCCUUGCCACCCGCAGACAGCACUGCCCUAAGCUUCUGCUAUAAUCACAAUAAAACUACACGAAUUGAGCGAAUCGCUAUCACAGCAGCCUUUUAUUUUCCUCAUUGAACUGUCAAAACACAACACAUCAGUUUUUGGAGAGAGAAACGAUUUUUAUUAGCUUGAUCGAACUCCCGAACUGCAGAGUAGACAGAUAGGACAGCUUCAACAGGCAUCAUAGUAAAUACAGGU
Toxorhynchites rutilus septentrionalis is the source of this 749-nucleotide long non-coding RNA. RefSeq lists it as uncharacterized. Lineage: Eukaryota; Metazoa; Arthropoda; Insecta; Diptera; Culicidae. The transcript is spliced from 3 exons. The record is from RefSeq and is a predicted model, not a curated record.